ACAAUGUGUAACAAAAAAUUUUAGAAAAA
RNAcentral lists this small RNA (29 nucleotides) under Plasmodium falciparum 3D7. RNAcentral's name for it is "Pfa-npcR7676". Lineage: Eukaryota; Apicomplexa; Aconoidasida; Haemosporida; Plasmodiidae. The record is from RNAcentral.